GACGAACGCUGGCGGCGUGCUUAACACAUGCAAGUCGAACGGAAAGGCCCUGCAUUUGUGGGGUGCUCGAGUGGCGAACGGGUGAGUAACACGUGAGUAACCUGCCCUUUACUUUGGGAUAACUUCAGGAAACUGGGUCUAAUUACGGAUAGAUACUCCUGAUGCAUGGUGGGGGUUGGAAAUUUUCGGUGGUUGGGGAUGGUCGCGCGGCUUAUCAGUUUGUUGGUGGGGUAGUGGCUGACCAAGGCUUCGACGGGUAGCCGGCCUGGGAGGGUGACCGGCGACAAGAGGACUGAGAGACGGCGCAGUGGGGAAUGGGAGGCAAUGGUGGGGAGUAUGACACAGUGGGCGGGAGCGUGAGGCAGCGACGCCGCGGGCGUGAAGACCGCCUGCGGGUUGUAAACCGCUUUCGGCUGUGACGAAGCUGGAGUGACGGUACUGAGUAAAGAAGCACCGGCUAACUACGUG
RNAcentral lists this ribosomal RNA (468 nucleotides) under uncultured bacterium. RNAcentral describes it as "partial 16S ribosomal RNA". It matches the Rfam family "Bacterial small subunit ribosomal RNA", at positions 28 to 507 of the family's 1533-position model. The record is from RNAcentral.